GACGAACGCUGGCGGCGUGCCUAAUACAUGCAAGUCGAGCGAGCGGAACUAACAGAUUUACUUCGGUAAUGACGUUAGGAAAGCGAGCGGCGGAUGGGUGAGUAACACGUGGGGAACCUGCCCCAUAGUCUGGGAUACCACUUGGAAACAGGUGCUAAUACCGGAUAAGAAAGCAGAUCGCAUGAUCAGCUUUUAAAAGGCGGCGUAAGCUGUCGCUAUGGGAUGGCCCCGCGGUGCAUUAGCUAGUUGGUAAGGUAAAGGCUUACCAAGGCGAUGAUGCAUAGCCGGGUCGAGAGACUGAUCGGCCACAUUGGGACUGAGACACGGCCCAAACUCCUACGGGAGGCAGCAGUAGGGAAUCUUCCACAAUGGACGCAAGUCUGAUGGAGCAACGCCGCGUGAGUGAAGAAGGUUUUCGGAUCGUAAAGCUCUGUUGUUGGUGAAGAAGGAUAGAGGUAGUAACUGGCCUUUAUUUGACGGUAAUCAACCAGAAAGUCACGGCUAACUACGUG
Molecule: ribosomal RNA, 512 nt
Filed under: uncultured bacterium
Lineage: Bacteria
Description: partial 16S ribosomal RNA
Rfam family: Bacterial small subunit ribosomal RNA
Source: RNAcentral